UGAAUACAGAAACGACUGAGAUCGGUUUCGAGUUAAACGCGUGAAAUUUUCCGGUCUUCUUUGAAGCAUUCUAACAAAAGCAUAGCGUGCACUUUAUAAAACAAGCUCCAUACUGAUCAUGGUGAAAUGAGACUCAAAUUUCGACACAUGAUGACAACAUGAACCCACAUCAUAGAUUAUAACUCAGUCUCAUUACUAUAUCAAUCGCGUAUGAUCUCUAAAAAAUAGAAAAAUUAGAUUUCGGGCUCAAUGAGACACGGCCGAAAAAUGGUGAUUGAGAACGAACUCCUACCUGUUACAGGGUGAAGUGCAGGUUUGGGCAUCGUCCAUGAAUUCCAUGAACGUCGCCUUCGAAGCUCUUCGAGUUUCAUUGAUCUGCUCAGAUAUCUUCUUAUAUUCCUUGUCCGCUUCAUCCGUGACUUGCUGAAUUGCCCGGACCUGGAUCUACAAGCGGCUGUGGAAGCAUCCGCCCUCCUCCCUAUCGCCCAUCCUUUUUCCCGUUACAUGCCUCAUUCCCCGCUUCGUCCAGUGAGCACCAGCAAGCCCUCCUCUCCUCCGUAAGGAAUCUUUUUUGUUUUUUCCUCGCCCACGCCAGCUCCUGCGUUCCAGGAGGCUCCUCACUUUUCUCA
RNAcentral lists this long non-coding RNA (629 nucleotides) under Eucalyptus grandis. Its description in RNAcentral is "long non-coding RNA (EGRA_LNC000405)". Lineage: Eukaryota; Viridiplantae; Streptophyta; Magnoliopsida; Myrtales; Myrtaceae. The record is from RNAcentral.